RNAcentral lists this ribosomal RNA (487 nucleotides) under uncultured bacterium. RNAcentral's name for it is "bacterial SSU rRNA". It matches the Rfam family "Bacterial small subunit ribosomal RNA", at positions 558 to 1041 of the family's 1533-position model. The record is from RNAcentral.
GCGUAAAGCGAGCGCAGGCGGUUCCUUAAGUCUGAUGUGAAAGCCCACGGCUCAACCGUGGAAGGUCAUUGGAAACUGGGGAACUUGAGUGCAGAAGAGGAGAGUGGAAUUCCAUGUGUAGCGGUGAAAUGCGUAGAUAUAUGGAGGAACACCAGUGGCGAAGGCGACUCUCUGGUCUGUAACUGACGCUGAGGCUCGAAAGCGUGGGGAGCAAACAGGAUUAGAUACCCUGGUAGUCCACGCCGUAAACGAUGAGUGCUAAGUGUUGGAGGGUUUCCACCCUUCAGUGCUGCAGCUAACGCAUUAAGCACUCCGCCUGGGGAGUACGGCCGCAAGGCUGAAACUCAAAAGGAAUUGACGGGGACCCGCACAAGCGGUGGAGCAUGUGGUUUAAUUCGAAAACAACGCGAAGAACCUUACCAGGUCUUGACAUCCUUUGACAAUCCUAGAGAUAGGACUUUCCCUUCGGGGACAAAGUGACAGGUGG